AUUUAAAUAGUUUAUUAAAAAUAUUGAUUUGUGGUGUCAAUGAUAUGAGUCAUUCAUUUUAGAUC
Molecule: transfer RNA, 65 nt
Filed under: Neorhodesiella sp.
Lineage: Eukaryota; Metazoa; Arthropoda; Insecta; Diptera; Chloropidae
Description: tRNA-His
Source: RNAcentral